This 6293-nucleotide long non-coding RNA is filed under the name Salmo salar (Atlantic salmon). RNAcentral's name for it is "lncRNA (ENSSSAG00000085387.1)". The record is from RNAcentral. Lineage: Eukaryota; Metazoa; Chordata; Actinopteri; Salmoniformes; Salmonidae.
AUCCAGGUCUGUGCCCAAACAGUUUUAACAGGAAUCGCAGUUCAUUCAGGAGAUUCGUUCGUCUGGCUGGCAUGCACAACAAGCCAGUUCUGGUCACCGGCUCCUCGGACUUGGAGAGGAGCUAGAGGUGCACCUUGUUAUGCCAUCACUCAAGAGCAACAGGUUUCUGAUGUCCAGUGCUUUCAGUGUGUCUCAGAUGGCAGAUAUUCAACAUGUGUCCUGAUCAACACUCAAACGUCGUCUAAGUUCAGUUGUUCUUGGGCGUAAUGCUAUAAACUACAGACUUUAUAUGCAUGGUUUCCAGUUUCAUACCAAUCAAACAAUUUAGAAUGACUAUAAUCAAGACGGGACUUUAAAAUGACUAUGAUGAUAUACAUUACCUCAUCUCUGUCCAUUGUUACAAAUUUCCCAGACACUUCAAUCUGUCACAUGCACCAUUAUAUUCUGACAUGUCAGACUUGGCUCUGGAUGUAAAGAUGAAGGACUUGGUGGCUGGGAACGACGACCUUGGACCGGAGGCUGUUCGAGCACUCACGUUUUUGAAAUGUGUAAGCCUUUAAAUGACCUUUUACAGACUACUUCUACAAACGAGGCUACACUUGUGGCAGCACCUAUUCCUGUGGCCCCCCCAUCUUCUGCACCACUUCCUGUGGCCUCCCCUCCACCAUUCCCUGAGGCUUAUCGUCCACCUUCACCACACUCUUCUGUUGAUGUUGGUGAUGACAAUGAUGUUGACCUCCAAACACUGCUGAAGUUAAUGAGAUGCCAACCAAAUGAACGUGGGAUGCUGACGGUAAAGGGGCAGCUGAUGAGGGUGGUCCCUCAUGAGAAUUUCCCCAGCUGCUAAUGAGUGCCAUCCAUUCCUCUGCAAUAUUUGAGGGACCUGAUUGACAAAAAUGCCUUUCUUGCAACUCUCAAGCACUCUAUGAUGGCGUAUACAAGCAGGUGGGCCGCAUGAUUGCUGUCUGUCUGGUACAUGGGGGUGUAGAGACACCAUUUUUUCAGAGAGGCUAUACAGGCAAGUGUGUGGCCUAAAACCUCCUGUGCCAGAACUGAAAGAAAUUGCGGAAUAUGACUUCAGAGAGAAGUUGGAGAAGGUAAGUACUUUAUACUGUGAUGGAUGUUAUGUUACUGUUAAUUUGCACUAAGUUUGUAGUUCAUGAGAACUUUUCCACAUGGAUUUGGUUUAUUUUUGUUGGCAGACAAUCUUUAAGGGUGGUGAUAAUCAGUUUAUUAUUUUGCUAAUUUGUCCCAAAACACAGUUCAAUAAACAAUCUAAGAUCCAGUUAGCACAAACUGUUGACGAGGCACAGGAAGUGGUCAUGUUGGGUCCAGUGCGAUACAUUCGUACAUUGGAGUGGGAUGCCCUGGUGGAGUCAGCCACAAAGUUCUACUUAGAAAGCAGGAUACGGGAUGCUCUUGAGUAGUGAGUUUCCAUAUAUCUAAGGAAUCUCAAGUUUAGUUCAAUUCUUCAGGGCAAAUUCAUACUUUUUUAAAACUUUAUAGAUUCAAAGAGGGUCUGGAGUGUCUAGGUCUCCUGCCUUACAUGAAUAGACACUCAAGCCUCUUCAGAGGUUUUCAUCUACGCUGAGAAACCUCAUUUGGCCAAAGACAUAGCUUCUCUCUUCAAAGCAGAGCGCUCCCCACCUGGUACCAAUUAAAGAGCAAUAGAGAAGAGUUCUAUGUUUCUGGAGCGACUGGCUGCUGGAGGUGGAAGGUUAGAUGCAAAACCAUGAUCAUUGAAGUAACACGGCCCACAUCAGUAAAACAUCACCUAAUCACUCUCACAACUGUGGGAAAGCAUUUUGUAACCUUAUUCUUCCAUGGGCCCCCUAAGAAUGUAAUAGAUAAGUGAAAGUAGUUUGGAUUUAAUUUAAGAGUAUUGUGUUCUCCAACAAGUGUUACUUAUGCACUUUAAUGUCCCCCCCUUUCCUUUUUUCAGGGGGGAACACAUACUCUUUAACCAUGGAGAAGGUUUUCGUUUUCACUUCAGGGGCUUCAGCAUUCCUAGGCUGGGAUUGCCAGUGGAGCCACAACUACAGUUCUCUGCAACCGCACAGCAAGCGGUACCGGAGCGCCAAGUCUAGGUCCAAGAGGCUUCUAAACAGCUUCUACCCCCAAGCCAUAAGACUACUGAACAUCUAAUCAAAUGGCUACCCAGACUAUUUUCUGCUACUCUAUCUAUGCAUAGUCACUUUAAUAUCUCUACCUAUAUGUAUAUAUGACUAACCAGUGCCCCCGCACAUUCUCUGUACCUGUACUCCCCCUGUAUAUAGCUUCACUAUUGUUAUUUUCCUGAUGCUCUUUAAUUAUUUACUUUUUUUUUUUUUUUGUAGCUGCAUUGUUGUUUAAGGGCUUGUAAGUAAGCAUUUCACUGUAAGGUCUACACCUGUUGUAUUUGGUGCAUGUGACAAAGACAAUUUGAUUUGAUUUAAAGAAUUCAUUUAAGGGGAAUUAUCCAAAACGUUUAUUGCAUGACCACCUAGUAAAUUCGGAAUACUGCAGCCAAUGUUAAUUGAUGUGCUAGCUAGCUGACUUCUGUGGCUAGCUACCAUAGGUGAGAACGGGGGUUGAAAAUGCUUCGAGGGAAUCCAAAAGUGAAGGUGGAGGUAGGGGACGAUUAUGGCCAAGGAGGUGCGUGUGCAUGGACGUCGGAGGAUCUGGCUGAGGAGAUCGCCAGGACGUCGGAGCCCAGAGGCCGCUUGAGGGAGGACGUUAGAGUGAUGGUUGCUGAAGCGGGCAUGAGUGCUUCAUUGACUGUGCUUCGCGCGGAUUCUGGUGGGCGGACCGAAGGGGUGACGUCGACGAGGAAUCUGGGGCUCAGGAUGUAAACAAACAUGGCGGCGCCCAGCUCCCGGCUGUGUCCGUAUCUGUUAAGACCCCGACGUAUUCCGGUAAGGCGGAUUGGGAAGCUUUUCAUGCUCAGUUUGAACUGUUAGCUCAUUUUAGGGGAUGAUCACGGAUGAUGCUCUGGCCUGUUUGAUAUUGAUUAGCCCCGAGGACAGACGUGAUUAUGGUGCUUCAGUGGGAGCACUGAGGAGGCGCUAUGGACUGUAUGUACAGCCCGGCUGCUGCGCUCCGAACUGAGUAAUAGACGCAGGCAGCCUGGAGAGCCUCUACGGGUGCUAGCUAAUGACAUUAAGAGCCUCUCUCGGCCGGCAUAUGCUCACAUGCCCCCCUCCGUGCAGAGCGAGCUAGCACGGGACCAGUUCAUACAGGCGCUCUCCUACGGAGCUGCGCAUACAGACCCAGCUGGCUCAUCCUGAGUCAUUGCCGAUAGCUUUGGAGAGGGAGCUGGUGUGGGCUGGGGCUUUGGUGGGGGUGCAGGGAGACAGACCCUCUGUGCGGGCUGGGGGGCAGAGCAGCCCAGACCUGGAAAAGCCUGCAUGGGUGGCUGAAAUGACAGAACUCAUAGCGUGCUGUGUCGCUACCCUAGUCCCAGGGUCUGCUGGGGUUGUUGCCAGCCAGGCCAUCUGCGCAGGGGUUGCCCCUUGUCCCCCAGAGCUCAGGGAAACGGCUCGGGGUCCGCAUAGACCGGGUAGUGUGGACCCCUGGCUUUCUUUCCCAACCACCAUCUUCUUCAGGAGGAGCCCACCGGCCCAGACGGGGAAGCAAGGCUCCACUUCCCCCAGAAGCAGACGAGGGCAAGCGGAUGGAGCCUGUCGUUGUGAUGGGCCGGACCUGUGUUGGAGACUUUUGUCAUGUCCCUGUCACUGUGGAGGGUGUUCCCUGCUCUGCCCUGGUUGACACUGGGUCCACAGUAACCCUGGUGAGGCCGGAUAUUGUGCCAGGUUGGACUCAGUGUGAACCCACAACUGUGCAGCUCCGCACAGUCACAGGUGAGCUGGCACCCAUGAAAGGGAAGGGAAUAAUGACUCUGACAGUAGGGGGCAGGUCUGUGCGUCAUCCUGUGUGGGUGGCGGCUGUGCAGGACCCUUGCAUCCUGGGGUUGGACUUUCUUAGGCGCACAGGCUGGCAGUUAGACCUAAAUGGGGGAACACAGAGCUUCCAGGGAGGGCCGGCAGUCACCAUGGCCCCCCUAAUGUCACAUUCACUCAACCCAACAAACCCUUUACUCCAACAGUUAAAGCAGCAGAGACUCAUGGCUGCCCCCCCUCCCCCCACAUCUGUGUGACUUUUCCCCAGGCCCCCUGUCACCUACGGCUGUGCGUUACAUUCCCUCGGCUACCUCCACGACACAUCCCUCCGUGGCAGUUGCUGUUUGAAUUCAGAGACGGCUUUGCGCUGAGUGAGGAAGAGGUGGGUCAGACUCAUCUGGUGCAGCAUGAGAUCGACACAGGUGAUGCUUGACCCAUCAAGAUGCGUCCCCGCCGUAUCCCGCUGGCACGCCAGGAGGCGGCAGACAAGGCUGUGUUGAAAGGAGGGAGUAGUGUAACGACCCUGGGUUUAUAAGCGUGGAAAUCGACUCUGCCGCUCGAGCAUGCUUUUGCGGCACAGUCGAUAGCGCGCUGGACUUCGGGCUAGAAGGUCGAGGGUUCGAGACCUGCUGUUUCAUUACAUUGGUGUCAGAAGUGAUCGAACCUUGCAUCCACGACAGUGCGUGUGCUUGGCUGGUGAGCACGUUUCAAGACCUCCCUGCCUGUUUCAUUACAGUAUAUUUAGCAGCUGUAGGCGUUAACUUGACGUGUGCAGGACCGCUUGCAGCUGUUUAUUUAGCACAUGUUGAAAAAACGACUUUAUAUCGGUGUUAUAUGCAUGUUCACACGCGUAUCUGCCGUCUCAUUGACUAGAAUGGUCCCACUUCAACAGCUGAGGGAUAUACUGAUCGCCAAGGUGGAUUUCGUGGCAUUUUAUUGUGCAAGUGAUUAAUUGUACUGGCCAAAUGAGUCCAAGAAACUGGCCGUCGUAUCUGCGGGUGAAAGGUUCUUGGGUAUCCACGAUUUCACGGCUGAAACGUAAGGAAUACUGUCUGAAUAUGUUAUUCUUUCUCAGGCACCAGAGAGCCUGUAGCAAUCAGUUGUUUCAUUGUCAUUUGUUUAUUAUUUGGGAAGAAUGUGAUUUCUCUCCCCCUUUUUCUCUUAUUGUUUUAUUUGAUCUCGUAUACUACCCUGUACAGUGGGUGGCGGCAUGCACCUCUAACAUGUUUGCGUACCGCUAUAAUACCAUAGAAGAGUUGUCCCAACUGAUCGGUCAUGGCUAAAAGUUAAAUUAACGUCAAAAGUAGUUCAUUUUGCAUUUUAGCUAACUUUAACCUAAUUAUUCUAACCUGCUCCAGAAAGUAAAAUAUGACAAAACCCACCUGGUCUCUUCCUCGGGCCUGCCUUCCUUCUUUGAAGACAGAAAAACAGGAGAACUGUGCAAUGUCUGGAUAUGGAACGUCGGAAUCUACACCGAGAGAUUUGCCGACUAUCCUCAGGUGUUGUGAAGAGAAGGUUUGACUGGACGUUGUUACUGGGAGGCUGAGUGCGGUGGGAAAUCGUUUAAUGCAGGUGUGGCAUAUGAAGACAUGAGCAGGGUUGGAAAAGAGCUCAACUGUUUAUUUUGUUACAAUGACAAAUCCUGGAGCCUGAGACGCCUCAAACGUCGUUUCCUCAAACGCUGACAAAGUUGGGGUGUAGCUGAACUCCUCAAGGCAUUCUGUCCUAACAAGUCUACGACACACCUGCAUUUCACUCAACCUUCACUGAACCACUCUAUGCAAUACUGUCAGUCAGUGACUAUUCAUCAGUGUCUCCGUGCUUGGUCUCAAAUGAGGAGAAAAGGAGGAUGGCAGAUGGUUAAGAUAAUAUCCUGUUCGAGGGAGAGAUCAGUUGACUGAGAAAAUACAUUUGAAAAAAUUCACAAUAUUUUCCAUAAUGAUUUGAACAUUUCAAUGUUCUGAAUGACCUCCAUUCUUAACGUGUUUAUAUCGGAGGUCUUACUGUACACCUCAAACUAUUCAGAUUAACAGUAUACACCAUUCCAUGGUCUUAGUAAAAAAAAUGUUUUAAUAUUUUUAGAUGUGAUGCAUUUUUAUCUAAUAAAGUAAUUAACAUUUCUCAAGCACUUGACCCCAAACUCUGGUCUUCUUACCCCAAACCACCACACCUCUAACCCAGCAAGUAUGGGGAUAGUGAGAGAGAGCACACAGAGAUAGAGAAGCUGACAUAUGAAGUCAGCCAUGCUUGACUUGCACCGCACCAUCUGUCUCCCUCCAAAUUUUAAUGAGACACCAGGAAGGGGGGAGACUAGAGAAGAGGCUGGAUCCAUUCAAACAGACAUCUUGUUAGACUACAGCGCUUCUCCAAGGUAAUGGUCUGCUGGGUAUUUUUGCUGUAUAGUGGAUAGAUAGA